GAUCCUGGCUCAGGACGAACGCUGGCGGCGCGCCUAACACAUGCAAGUCGAACGGAGCUGAGAGGAGCUUGCUUUUCUUGACUUAGUGGCGAACGGGUGAGUAACGCGUGAGUAACCUGCCCUGGAGUGGGGGACAACAGUUGGAAACGACUGCUAAUACCGCAUAAGCCCACGGCCCGGCAUCGGGCUGCGGGAAAAGGAUUUAUUCGCUUCAGGAUGGACUCGCGUCCAAUUAGCUAGUUGGUGAGG
RNAcentral lists this ribosomal RNA (249 nucleotides) under uncultured bacterium. RNAcentral describes it as "partial 16S ribosomal RNA". It matches the Rfam family "Bacterial small subunit ribosomal RNA", at positions 15 to 257 of the family's 1533-position model. The record is from RNAcentral.